Molecule: transfer RNA, 64 nt
Filed under: Dipodomys ordii (Ord's kangaroo rat)
Lineage: Eukaryota; Metazoa; Chordata; Mammalia; Rodentia; Heteromyidae
Rfam family: tRNA
About the family: Transfer RNA (tRNA) molecules are approximately 80 nucleotides in length. Their secondary structure includes four short double-helical elements and three loops (D, anti-codon, and T loops).
Source: Rfam by way of RNAcentral
GGUGGCUCAGUGGUAGAGUGCUUGCCUUGCAUGCAUGAAGCCCUGGGUUUGAUUCCUAGUACCA